GAAUAUUUUCUCCCUCUUCUUUCAGUUUUCUCUCUCCUCUUGUAAAUCCUCUGCUGUGCUUCUUCAUGUUCAUCAACUUCGUUGAUUUUCCUUGCAAAUCCCUUUUGCUUCUUUGCGAUCCUCUUCCAAUUGUUCAGUGGAAGUACAGGGGUUGAUGGAACCCAAUACUCUUCCUUUGGUGUUCCUUGAGGGGGAACUUUUGCAUUAGCUCGUGUCUUGAACGUACCAUGUUUCCUAGCUGCUGUUGCUGAUAUGUUCUUUCUCCUUGGAAUUAAGACCAAAGAAGUAUUUGAAGGUGGUGAUUUCCAGUACAACCAAUUUGAGAUUGAUCUGAUGGUUUGUAUUGCUGAUAUCCUCGUGUCUCUUUGGAGUUCGGAGUACUGAAAAUGGAGUGUAACUGCAACAUUAGACAAUUUUUUCAACAAACCAAGCAUAAGAUUCAGGGUGAUAGAUCAGACAUUCAAUAUGCAGCCGAGUUAGAUCAAAGACUUUCAAGUGAAAUUCAGCAAUCUGCAGGAAGUGCAGCUUGUUAACAACCCAUUAUUUGGACUAUUCAACUCAGAUAUCUACUGCUUCUUUAAGCAUUGCAGCUGUCCUUCUUCACAGAAGAUUUCCAUAGAACUUUCAACCGUGUCUGAGGAGAACUUCAUCUGGGAACACCGAAAGCCAAAUAUCACGCAUGUUGAAUGUGCUUUUAACAAUUUGAGGACUGUCACAUUGUGCAACUUCGGAGGAACUAGUUCAGAUAUUGAACUUGCAGCAUAUUUCUUGCAAAGAGCACCAAUUUUGGAAUUAAUGCAACUUUUUUGAAUGUUAAGUAAUCUGAGAUUUCAAAUUUUUUUGCUCAUUUAGACAUAAUGAGCAAAUUUUUGGAUAUAAACAAACCCGAACUUUAAAAAAUGAGCAAAAAUAUUUGCUCAUUUUUAUAACCUAUAAAAAAUGAGCACAUUUUUUGAAUGUUAAG
Molecule: long non-coding RNA, 964 nt
Organism: Spinacia oleracea (spinach)
Lineage: Eukaryota; Viridiplantae; Streptophyta; Magnoliopsida; Caryophyllales; Amaranthaceae
Exons: 4
Source: RefSeq, a predicted model, not a curated record